GGUCUGGCUGCAGACAUGAUGCACUCUCAGACACACGCAUGCGCAGUUGGACACAUGCACUCUCAGACAUACGCAUGCGCAAUUGGACACAUGCACUCUCAGACACACCCAGGCGCACUGUUUAAAGUGCACGAACAGGCCACUCAACGUGAUACAUAGGAUUUAAAGGUGGUACAGAAAUUAUUGUCUUUCAACGUAAGUAACGUACGUUAGGGGAUUCAAAGACGGCAAAUGAAUUAUUAUGCAUCAAUCCGUAGUCUUGGCAGGUGUAAAGCACCUGAUACCAAAGUGCACAUCUUGUUGCAUAUUGUAUCAUUGCCCCUUGUGCCCUACACUGUAGCCAA
Long non-coding RNA from Carassius auratus (goldfish), 344 nucleotides. RefSeq lists it as uncharacterized. The transcript is spliced from 3 exons. The record is from RefSeq and is a predicted model, not a curated record. Lineage: Eukaryota; Metazoa; Chordata; Actinopteri; Cypriniformes; Cyprinidae.